AUGAAACCUAGGGCUUCAAUUUCUGAAACCCCAAGUUCUACACUCGUCGUUGUUGGGCUCUUCAAUCCGCCAAAACAACUUCACUCAAUUGCUCCACCUUGCUUUUCUCAACUCACCAUCGAUUCACGCUCCUUCAUCAUCUGCUUAUCCAAUCCGCAGCUUUUCUUCCUCCAAGACCACCAAACAAAGCUGUAA
This is a non-coding RNA of Vicia faba (fava bean), 195 nucleotides long. The record is from the annotation of a GenBank genome assembly. NCBI's taxonomy places the organism in Eukaryota, Viridiplantae, Streptophyta, Magnoliopsida, Fabales, Fabaceae.